Molecule: long non-coding RNA, 2411 nt
Organism: Strigops habroptila (Kakapo)
Lineage: Eukaryota; Metazoa; Chordata; Aves; Psittaciformes; Psittacidae
Exons: 2
Source: RefSeq, a predicted model, not a curated record
GUCACUUCCUGAGCGGCGCCGGCGGAGGCUGGGCUCGGCCCGCACCUGAGGAGCGCGGCGCGGACCCGCGCUGCCGUGUGAGGUGAGGAACAUACAUAAGAGAAUCACCCAAAGCCAAGCAGAGAGUCGGAGCGUCCUGCUCACAGGAUGAUGUUCCAGCCACCCGGCUGUGCCUGGUACUGUACUCUACUCACAGGGACACUGUGGCUCCACUGAAGGUCUCCAACAGCACAGAGCACAGACCAGUUUCAGAAGCCACACUCCAGUUUCAGGGGAAAUCCUGAAACCCACAAACUCUAAACAACAGCAAGCAGAAGUAUUUCAUACCCAGGGAACAAGCACAUCUCUGAACUAUGAGUAAUGUGUUCUAGGUCAGGGAGUAUCUGAAUCAAGCAGACCCAAUUCCCUAAACAAGUGAAAUGUUGCUGUGCAGAGAGGGGUGUAAUGAGGAGUGUAGUUCUAACUACACUUGGCAUGUGAUGGGAUUUGCACCAAACCUAAAACCCCUUCUUUCAUUUCAUAGAAUCACAGAAUGAAAGACUGGUUUGUGUUGGAAGGGAGCUUAAAGCUCAUCCAGUUCCAACCCCUGCCAUGGGCAGGGACACCUUCCACUAGAGCAGGUUGCUCCAAGCCCCUCUGUCCAACCUGGCCUUGAACACUGCCAGGGAUGGGGCAGCCACAGCUUCUCUGGGCACCCUGUGCCAGCGCCUCAGCACCCUCACAGGGAAGAACUUCUGCCUCAGAGCUCAUCUCAAUCUCCCCUCUGGGAGGUUAAAGCCAUUCCCCUUGUCCUGUCCCUACAGGCCCUUGUCCAAAGCCCCUCUCCAGGUUUCCUGGAGCCCCUUUAGGCACUGGAGCUGCUCUAAGGUCUCCCCUUCAGGAGCCUUCUCUUCUCCAGGCUGAACAAGGUUUUCACAGGUUAUUUGCUGCACAUACACAACAGCUUUGUCUUUCAGCUCUCCCCUUCACUUGCUGGCUGCCUCCCUCUGUGCCUUGGCAGAGGGCACAACCGCUGAGCUACGUCUGCCCUGGAAACAGUUGAAGGAUAAAAUAAGCAGACCUCUCACCUGAGUGAGCUCAUUGCUCUGUCAGCCAUGAAUCGGCUUAAGAAAAGCCAAGAGUGAGUUGUCCAUCAUUCACAAAACCCAAGGCAGCUGUGGACAUGCCCAAAAGCAGCACACUAUGGUUUUGGGCAUGCAGCAGCCAUGGGGUUGAGGUGCCCUAGGGUAGGGCAGCAGUCAGUGAGGGUAAGUCCUACUGCAAACUGGGGCAAAAGAGCCUAAAUCCUUUUCCUUGAAACUCCUUGUUUGGGGCUGGAUAUGGGCUGAUCACACCAUGUGUGCACGUCUCUGUGCCACUAAUAAGAGGUUUCAGUUCACAACCCUACCAGCAUUUCAAACUACUCAAUAAAUACACAUUCUUCCUACCUCUGUUUGAUGUGUGACACUGUCCAUGAAUACCUGGCUGCUGGAGUGACUGCUGAGGCUCAUUUCUGCUCCCUCACUAGCAUUUAUUAGCUCUGGCUCUCCAGCACAGGCUUAUGCACUUGAGAUUAUCCUGAAUUUAUAUGCUGCCUUGUGGCUACAUCAUUUGUUUGCCUGACAGCGCUCACUUUAAUUUCCAGUAACCUAAAAUGGGCUCAUUUCAAGCUCUGUUGUUACCUAACAAAUGGAAAUUAAGCCACAGGUUUGCUUUCUCCUUUUUGCAUCAAAUAAAACACACCAGUGUUCCUUUUCCUCCUUUGUCUUGAGGCUACGACACCUCAUCUUCACUGAAAGCCUUAGGUGGCCAUUAACUGUCCCUCAAUUUAGCUGCUACCCACAAGGGGCCGGUCAUGCUCAAUGCAGUUCCAGCCAAGGCAUAAGAUAGAGCUCUCCCCUUUUCUUAUCCCCCCCAAAAGCAGCAAGCAACAGGAACCCAAAGGCAGACCUCCUCAUGGCAAUGCAAAGCCCUGGCCCAUUUAUUUGCUAUGUGCUCUCCACAUAUUUCACAGGAGACGAUUGGAUAUGGAGCAAUGCUUAGAGGGGCUAUAAAAUAAAGCAGUUCUUGUUGUAACAAGUUGCGUUCUUUACCUUUUGGCAUGCCAAGAUUAGGAAAGCAACGUGAGUGCCAAAACACUGAAAAAUGUGCUGUAUGUUGCUAAAUACUGUACUUAAAGAUUCUGUCUGGGAUGAAAUAACAUACAUUUUGGCAGCCCUUUACCAGGCACGCUGGAACACAGUAAAACGGACAUAGCGGAGUGUAUAUAUAUACACAGAUUUGCCUUACAAUGGCUCCAGUGCUGCCAGUGCAUUCCUGGAACGUGGAAAUACAUGGGAGCCAGUGUCAGCAAUGAAGGAAAGCAUGCUGUGCCUAAUGUACCAGAAAAGCUACUCGAAAACUCACGCUCACAUUAAAAUAACCCUGAAGAA